Molecule: small nucleolar RNA, 213 nt
Filed under: Homalodisca vitripennis (glassy-winged sharpshooter)
Lineage: Eukaryota; Metazoa; Arthropoda; Insecta; Hemiptera; Cicadellidae
Description: small nucleolar RNA U3
Rfam family: Small nucleolar RNA U3
About the family: Small nucleolar RNAs (snoRNAs) are involved in the processing and modification of rRNA in the nucleolus. There are two main classes of snoRNAs: the box C/D class, and the box H/ACA class.
Source: RNAcentral
AAGAUCAUACUUCACAGGAUCAUUUCUCAAGAUCUUCAUUUAACCACUUCAACACUGAAGUUUUUACCAGCCACGAUGAAGAGACGAAGUUCUCCUCCCUGAGCGUGAGGCAGGCGCGUGACCGUGUCACAACAUGACGCGGUUUACGCUCCAUCGAUGAUCGUUCAGACCGACCACUCUUGGUCGGUACGAGAGGAGAGCGUUCAGAGUAGC